GACGAACGCUGGCGGCGUGCUUAACACAUGCAAGUCGAACGGAAAGGCCCUGCUUUUGUGGGGUGCUCGAGUGGCGAACGGGUGAGUAACACGUGAGUAACCUGCCCUUGACUUUGGGAUAACUUCAGGAAACUGGGGCUAAUACCGGAUAGGAGCUCCUGCUGCAUGGUGGGGGUUGGAAAGUUUCGGCGGUUGGGGAUGGACUCGCGGCUUAUCAGCUUGUUGGUGGGGGAGUGGCUUACCAAGGCUUGGACGGGUAGCCGGCCUGAGAGGGUGACCGGCCACAUUGGGACUGAGAUACGGCCCAGACUCCUACGGGAGGCAGCAGUGGGGAAUAUUGCACACUGGGCGGAAGCCUGAUGCAGCAACGCCGCGUGCGGGAUGACGGCCUUCGGGUUGUAAACCGCUUUCGCCUGUGACGAAGCGUGAGUGACGGUAAUGGGGAAAGAAGCACCGGCGAACUACGG
RNAcentral lists this ribosomal RNA (467 nucleotides) under uncultured bacterium. RNAcentral's name for it is "partial 16S ribosomal RNA". It matches the Rfam family "Bacterial small subunit ribosomal RNA", at positions 28 to 506 of the family's 1533-position model. The record is from RNAcentral.